This 506-nucleotide unclassified non-coding RNA is filed under the name uncultured Aspergillus. RNAcentral describes it as "sequence contains ITS1, 5.8S rRNA gene, ITS2". The stretch from base 183 to 336 matches the Rfam family "5.8S ribosomal RNA". Lineage: Eukaryota; Fungi; Ascomycota; Eurotiomycetes; Eurotiales; Aspergillaceae. The record is from RNAcentral.
CCGAGUGUAGGGUUCCUAGCGAGCCCAACCUCCCACCCGUGUUUACUGUACCUUAGUUGCUUCGGCGGGCCCGCCAUUCAUGGCCGCCGGGGGCUCUCAGCCCCGGGCCCGCGCCCGCCGGAGACACCACGAACUCUGUCUGAUCUAGUGAAGUCUGAGUUGAUUGUAUCGCAAUCAGUUAAAACUUUCAACAAUGGAUCUCUUGGUUCCGGCAUCGAUGAAGAACGCAGCGAAAUGCGAUAACUAGUGUGAAUUGCAGAAUUCCGUGAAUCAUCGAGUCUUUGAACGCACAUUGCGCCCCCUGGUAUUCCGGGGGGCAUGCCUGUCCGAGCGUCAUUGCUGCCCAUCAAGCACGGCUUGUGUGUUGGGUCGUCGUCCCCUCUCCGGGGGGGACGGGCCCCAAAGGCAGCGGCGGCACCGCGUCCGAUCCUCGAGCGUAUGGGGCUUUGUCACCCGCUCUGUAGGCCCGGCCGGCGCUUGCCGAACGCAAAUCAAUCUUUUUCCAG